ACGAACGCUGGCGGCGUGCUUAACACAUGCAAGUCGAACGGUGAAGCGCCUUCCUUUUUGGUGGGUGUGGAUGAGUGGCGAACGGGUGAGUAACACGUGAGUAACCUGCCCCCUUCUUCUGGAUAACCGCAUGAAAGUGUGGCUAAUACGGGAUAUUCUGGGUCUGUCGCAUGAUGGGUCUGGGAAAGAUAUUGUUUCGGUGGGGGAUGGGCUCGCGGCCUAUCAGCUUGUUGGUGGGGUGAUGGCCUACCAAGGCGGUGACGGGUAGCCGGCCUGAGAGGGUGGACGGUCACACUGGGACGGAGACACGGCCCAGACUCCGACGGGAGGCAGCAGUGGGGAAUAGUGCACAAUGGGCGCAAGCCUGAUGCAGCGACGCCGCGUGAGGGAUGGAGGCCUUCGGGUUGUGAACCUCUUUCGCCAGUGAAGCAGGCCUGCCUCGUUUGUGGGUGGGUUGACGGUAGCUGGAUAAGAAGCGCCGGCUAACUACGUG
This 493-nucleotide ribosomal RNA is filed under the name uncultured bacterium. RNAcentral describes it as "partial 16S ribosomal RNA". It matches the Rfam family "Bacterial small subunit ribosomal RNA", at positions 29 to 507 of the family's 1533-position model. The record is from RNAcentral.